Molecule: ribosomal RNA, 428 nt
Filed under: Intrasporangiaceae bacterium Ellin7025
Lineage: Bacteria; Bacillati; Actinomycetota; Actinomycetes; Micrococcales; Intrasporangiaceae
Description: bacterial SSU rRNA
Rfam family: Bacterial small subunit ribosomal RNA
Source: RNAcentral
GACGAACGCUGGCGGCGUGCUUAACACAUGCAAGUCGAACGAUGAUGCCCAGCUUGCUGGGUGGAUUAGUGGCGAACGGGUGAGUAACACGUGAGUAACCUGCCCUUCACUCUGGGAUAACUCCGGGAAACCGGGGCUAAUACUGGAUAUGACUCCUCCUCGCAUGGGGUGGGAGUGGAAAGCUUUUGUGGUGGAGGAUGGACUCGCGGCCUAUCAGCUUGUUGGUGAGGUAGUGGCUCACCAAGGCGACGACGGGUAGCCGGCCUGAGAGGGCGACCGGCCACACUGGGACUGAGACACGGCCCAGACUCCUACGGGAGGCAGCAGUGGGGAAUAUUGCACAAUGGGCGAAAGCCUGAUGCAGCGACGCCGCGUGAGGGAUGAAGGCCUUCGGGUUGUAAACCUCUUUCAGCUCUGAAGAAGCGAAA